Molecule: ribosomal RNA, 497 nt
Filed under: uncultured bacterium
Lineage: Bacteria
Description: partial 16S ribosomal RNA
Rfam family: Bacterial small subunit ribosomal RNA
Source: RNAcentral
GAUGAACGCUGGCGGCGUGCCUAAUACAUGCAAGUCGAGCGAACAGACGAGGAGCUUGCUCCUCUGACGUUAGCGGCGGACGGGUGAGUAACACGUGGAUAACCUACCUAUAAGACUGGGAUAACUUCGGGAAACCGGAGCUAAUACCGGAUAACAUGUUGAACCGCAUGGUUCAACAGUGAAAGACGGUCUUGCUGUCACUUAUAGAUGGAUCCGCGCCGCAUUAGCUAGUUGGUAAGGUAACGGCUUACCAAGGCAACGAUGCGUAGCCGACCUGAGAGGGUGAUCGGCCACACUGGAACUGAGACACGGUCCAGACUCCUACGGGAGGCAGCAGUAGGGAAUCUUCCGCAAUGGGCGAAAGCCUGACGGAGCAACGCCGCGUAAGUGAAGAAGGUCUUCGGAUCGUAAAACUCUGUUAUUAGGGAAGAACAAAUGUGUAAGUAACUAUGCACGUCCUGACGGUACCUAAUCAGAAAGCCACGGCUAACUACGUG